GCCCAUAUGGCUCAGUGGCUAGAGCAUCUCACUCGUACGCAAGAGAAUCAUGAGAAGAUCCCUUGUUCGACUCAAGGUGUGGGCU
This 85-nucleotide transfer RNA is filed under the name Paecilomyces variotii No. 5. Its description in RNAcentral is "Byssochlamys spectabilis No. 5 tRNA". It matches the Rfam family "tRNA". Rfam says of the family: Transfer RNA (tRNA) molecules are approximately 80 nucleotides in length. The record is from Rfam by way of RNAcentral. Lineage: Eukaryota; Fungi; Ascomycota; Eurotiomycetes; Eurotiales; Thermoascaceae.